UACAGAGGGUGCGAGCGUUAAUCGGAAUUACUGGGCAUAAAGCGUGCGUAGACGGUAGCGUAAGUCAGAUGUGAAAGCCCCGGGCUCAACCUGGGAAUGGCAUUUGAGACUGCUCUGCUCGGGUGCGGAAGAGGGAAGCGGAAUUUCCGGUGUAGCGGUGAAAUGCGUAGAUAUCGGAAGGAACACCAGUGGCGAAAGCGGCUUCCUGGUCCGACACCGACGGUCAGGCACGAAAAGCGUGGGGAGCAAACAGG
RNAcentral lists this ribosomal RNA (254 nucleotides) under uncultured bacterium. Its description in RNAcentral is "partial 16S ribosomal RNA". It matches the Rfam family "Bacterial small subunit ribosomal RNA", at positions 524 to 776 of the family's 1533-position model. The record is from RNAcentral.